GACGUAGGGCGCGAGCGUUGUCCGGAUUUAUUGGGCGUAAAGAGCUCGUAGGCGGCUUGUCGCGUCGACUGUGAAAACCCGCGGCUCAACUGUGGGCUUGCGGUCGAUACGGGCAUCACUGGAGUUCGGCAGGGGAGACUGGAAUUCCUGGUGUAGCGGUGAAAUGCGCAGAUAUCAGGAGGAACACCGGUGGCGAAGGCGGGUCUCUGGGCCGAUACUGACGCUGAGGAGCGAAAGCCAGGGGAGCAAACGGG
Molecule: ribosomal RNA, 254 nt
Filed under: uncultured bacterium
Lineage: Bacteria
Description: partial 16S ribosomal RNA
Rfam family: Bacterial small subunit ribosomal RNA
Source: RNAcentral